GGCAGCAUGGCUUAGUGGUUGGAGCGCCUGACUAGGACCUUGAAGAGACCAGGAUUCGAAUCCCUCUGCUCAGCCA
Molecule: non-coding RNA, 76 nt
Organism: Podarcis lilfordi (Lilford's wall lizard)
Lineage: Eukaryota; Metazoa; Chordata; Lepidosauria; Squamata; Lacertidae
Source: the annotation of a GenBank genome assembly